CCUACGGGGUGCUGCAGUGAGGAAUAUUGGUCAAUGGGCGCAAGCCUGAACCCGCCAAGUCGCGUGAGGGAUGACGGUCCUAUGGAUUGUAAACCUCUUUUGUCGGGGAGCAAGGCACGCCACGUGUGGCGGGAAGGAGAGUACCCGAAGAAAAAGCAUCGGCUAACUCCGUGCCAGCAGCCGCGGUAAUACGGAGGAUGCGAGCGUUAUCCGGAUUUAUUGGGUUUAAAGGGUGCGUAGGCGGAAGGUUAAGUCAGCGGUAAAAUGUCGGGGCUCAACACCGGCAUGCCGUUGAAACUGGUCUUCUUGAGUGAGCGAGAAGUAUGCGGAAUGCGUGGUGUAGCGGUGAAAUGCAUAGAUAUCACGCAGAACUCCGAUUGCGAAGGCAGCAUACCGGCGCUCAACUGACGCUGAGGCACGAAAGCGUGGGGAUCGAACAGGAUUAGAUACCCCUGUAGUC
This 460-nucleotide ribosomal RNA is filed under the name uncultured bacterium. RNAcentral describes it as "partial 16S ribosomal RNA". It matches the Rfam family "Bacterial small subunit ribosomal RNA", at positions 338 to 795 of the family's 1533-position model. The record is from RNAcentral.